Molecule: transfer RNA, 67 nt
Filed under: Lens contradens
Lineage: Eukaryota; Metazoa; Mollusca; Bivalvia; Unionida; Unionidae
Description: tRNA-Cys
Source: RNAcentral
UGCCUUGUAGUAUAAUAUAACAUAUUACUAUAAACUGCAACUUUAUCAAAGCAACUAGCCAAGGCAU